CGAUGAACCACUUCGGUGGGGAUUAGUGGCGAACGGGUGAGUAACACGUGGGCAAUCUGCCCUGCACUCUGGGACAAGCCCUGGAAACGGGGUCUAAUACCGGAUACAACCACUAGGGGCAUCUCUUGGUGGUGGAAAGCUCCGGCGGUGCAGGAUGAGCCCGCGGCCUAUCAGCUUGUUGGUGAGGUAAUGGCUCACCAAGGCGACGACGGGUAGCCGGCCUGAGAGGGCGACCGGCCACACUGGGACUGAGACACGGCCCAGACUCCUACGGGAGGCAGCAGUGGGGAAUAUUGCACAAUGGGCGAAAGCCUGAUGCAGCGACGCCGCGUGAGGGAUGACGGCCUUCGGGUUGUAAACCUCUUUCAGCAGGGAAGAAGCGAAAGUGACGGUACCUGCAGAAGAAGCGCCGGCUAACUACGUGCCAGCAGCCGCGGUAAUACGUAGGGCGCGAGCGUUGUCCGGAAUUAUUGGGCGUAAAGAGCUCGUAGGCGGCUUGUCGCGUCGGUUGUGAAAGCCCGGGGCUUAACCCCGGGUCUGCAGUCGAUACGGGCAGGCUAGAGUUCGGUAGGGGAGAUCGGAAUUCCUGGUGUAGCGGUGAAAUGCGCAGAUAUCAGGAGGAACACCGGUGGCGAAGGCGGAUCUCUGGGCCGAUACUGACGCUGAGGAGCGAAAGCGUGGGGAGCGAACAGGAUUAGAUACCCUGGUAGUCCACGCCGUAAACGGUGGGCACUAGGUGUGGGCAACAUUCCACGUUGUCCGUGCCGCAGCUAACGCAUUAAGUGCCCCGCCUGGGGAGUAC
Molecule: ribosomal RNA, 802 nt
Filed under: Streptomyces sp.
Lineage: Bacteria; Bacillati; Actinomycetota; Actinomycetes; Kitasatosporales; Streptomycetaceae
Description: bacterial SSU rRNA
Rfam family: Bacterial small subunit ribosomal RNA
Source: RNAcentral